Molecule: unclassified non-coding RNA, 345 nt
Filed under: soil metagenome
Description: partial contains 5.8S ribosomal RNA, internal transcribed spacer 2, and large subunit ribosomal RNA
Rfam family: 5.8S ribosomal RNA (bases 1-120)
Source: RNAcentral
GAUGAAGAACGCAGCGAAAUGCGAUACGUAAUGUGAAUUGCAGAAUUCAGUGAAUCAUCGAGUCUUUGAACGCACAUUGCGCCCUCUGGUAUUCCGGAGGGCAUGCCUGUCCGAGCGUCAUUGCUGCCCUCAAGCACGGCUUGUGUGUUGGGCCCCGCCCCCCGAUCCCGGGGGGCGGGCCCGAAAGGCAGCGGCGGCACCGCGUCCGGUCCUCGAGCGUAUGGGGCUUUGUCACCCGCUCUGUAGGCCCGGCCGGCGCCUGCCGAUCAAACAAACUUUUUUCCAGGUUGACCUCGGAUCAGGUAGGGAUACCCGCUGAACUUAAGCAUAUCAAUAAGCGGAGGA